This is a non-coding RNA of Paralichthys olivaceus (Japanese flounder), 536 nucleotides long. Lineage: Eukaryota; Metazoa; Chordata; Actinopteri; Pleuronectiformes; Paralichthyidae. The record is from RefSeq and is a predicted model, not a curated record.
GCAGGGCUACCCACUAGAGAGGGGGAUCAGCAUUCGGCUGGCAGACCUUCUCAAGAGAUCCAAAUCGCAGCAGUUCCACGGCCUGAUGGGAAGAAGCUCAGGAACAUCUCAACCCGUGAGACUGGGCAGGAAGAGAAACAAAGGGGAGAUGUUCGUUGGACUCAUGGGCAGAAGGAGUUUAGGAGCAGAAGAUGUGGAAGAUGAGUGGAAAUCUGAAUCUUAUUAAAGAUGGAAGAAGAAAAAAAAAAUCCCCUGAUCCAUAAUCCCACCUCUGAUUCAACUACAACGUCCGAUACAGUCGCACGUUGCUGAGCAACAGGACGGACUGUCGAGUAUAACCCACUCUGAGCGGGACAGAUGUCCUCAACAUCUGCUGCAAUGGACUCGAAAUCGAUUAAAAGCUGCUGAAAAACCACGAGGACCAUCGCCCAUCCAUUAUAAUCAACACCAUCACUAAUAUUUAAAAGUGUGUACGUGUAAGCCUUGUGUCUUCUCAGGGCCUUCGCUUGUUUCAUUUCAAACUCAUUAAAGCUGAA